AUCCAGCUGACGAGUUCCAAACAAGACGAAACGUGCAUUUUGUAU
RNAcentral lists this non-coding RNA (45 nucleotides) under Schistosoma mattheei. The record is from RNAcentral. Lineage: Eukaryota; Metazoa; Platyhelminthes; Trematoda; Strigeidida; Schistosomatidae.